AUUCCGGAGAGGGAGCCUGAGAAACGGCUACCACUUCCAAGGAAGGCAGCAGGCGCGCAAAUUACCCAAUACUGAUUCGGUGAGGUAGUGACAAGAAAUACCAAUAUAGGACCCAACGGGUACUAUGUUUGGAAUGAGUACAAUUUAAAAACCUUAACGAGGAACAAUUGGAGGGCAAGUCUGGUGCCAGCAGCCGCGGUAAUUCCAGCUCCAAUAGUGUAUAUUAAAGUUGCUGCGGUUAAAAAGCUCGUAGUUGGAUUUUCGGAGUUGUUAUCUGAACCUUCUCGCCAUAAAAAGUGGGGGGCUAAGGUAGCAGUAGUUUUCAUCAUAGUCCACCAGGAUACUCUCUUGUGUACUGGGUGUUAACCUCCUUUUUUCUGGUACUUGUCUAUCCAGCAAUGGGUAGGUUUUGUUCCAGAUAGUUUAC
RNAcentral lists this ribosomal RNA (427 nucleotides) under uncultured eukaryote. Its description in RNAcentral is "bacterial SSU rRNA". It matches the Rfam family "Eukaryotic small subunit ribosomal RNA", at positions 380 to 755 of the family's 1831-position model. The record is from RNAcentral.